CCUACGGGGUGCAGCAGUGAGGAAUAUUGGUCAAUGGACGAGAGUCUGAACCAGCCAAGUAGCGUGAAGGAUGACUGCCCUAUGGGUUGUAAACUUCUUUUAUAUGGGAAUAAAAUGUUCCACGUGUGGGAUUUUGUAUGUCCCCUAUGAAUAAGGAUCGGCUAACUCCGUGCCAGCAGCCGCGGUAAUACGGAGGAUCCGAGCGUUAUCCGGAUUUAUUGGGUUUAAAGGGAGCGUAGGUGGAUUGUUAAGUCAGUUGUGAAAGUUUGCGGCUCAACCGUAAAAUUGCAGUUGAAACUGGCAGUCUUGAGUACAGUAGAGGUGGGCGGAAUUCGUGGUGUAGCGGUGAAAUGCUUAGAUAUCACGAAGAACUCCGAUUGCGAAGGCAGUUCACUGGACUGCAACUGACACUGAGGCUCGAAAGUGUGGGUAUCAAACAGGAUUAGAUACCCGGGUAGUC
This 460-nucleotide ribosomal RNA is filed under the name uncultured bacterium. RNAcentral's name for it is "partial 16S ribosomal RNA". It matches the Rfam family "Bacterial small subunit ribosomal RNA", at positions 338 to 795 of the family's 1533-position model. The record is from RNAcentral.